UUAAUUGAAACCAAAAAGAGGUAUAUCACUGUUAAUGAUACCAUUGAGAUUCAUCUCCAAUUAAA
RNAcentral lists this transfer RNA (65 nucleotides) under Pheletes quercus. Its description in RNAcentral is "tRNA-Asn". Lineage: Eukaryota; Metazoa; Arthropoda; Insecta; Coleoptera; Elateridae. The record is from RNAcentral.